RNAcentral lists this ribosomal RNA (254 nucleotides) under uncultured bacterium. Its description in RNAcentral is "partial 16S ribosomal RNA". It matches the Rfam family "Bacterial small subunit ribosomal RNA", at positions 524 to 776 of the family's 1533-position model. The record is from RNAcentral.
UACGGAGGGUGCAAGCGUUGUCCGGAAUCACUGGGCGUAAAGGGCGCGUAGGCGGCUCGGUAAGUAGGGGGUGAAAUCCUGCGGCUUAACCGCAGGGCUGCCUUCUAAACUGUCGAGCUCGAGCACAGGUAGAGGCAGAUGGAAUUCCCGGUGUAGCGGUGGAAUGCGUAGAGAUCGGGAAGAACAUCAGUGGCGAAGGCGGUCUGCUGGGCCGUUGCUGACGCUGAGGCGCGACAGCGUGGGGAGCAAACAGG